AUUGAACGCUGGCGGCAUGCCUUACACAUGCAAGUCGAACGGUAACAGGUCUUCGGAUGCUGACGAGUGGCGAACGGGUGAGUAAUACAUCGGAACGUGCCUAGUAGUGGGGGAUAACUACUCGAAAGAGUGGCUAAUACCGCAUGAGAUCUACGGAUGAAAGCAGGGGAUCGCAAGACCUUGUGCUACUAGAGCGGCCGAUGGCAGAUUAGGUAGUUGGUGGGAUAAAAGCUUACCAAGCCGACGAUCUGUAGCUGGUCUGAGAGGACGAUCAGCCACACUGGGACUGAGACACGGCCCAGACUCCUACGGGAGGCAGCAGUGGGGAAUUUUGGACAAUGGGCGAAAGCCUGAUCCAGCAAUGCCGCGUGCGGGAUGAAGGCCUUCGGGUUGUAAACUGCUUUUGUACGGAACGAAAAGCCCCGGGUUAAUACCCUGGGGUCAUGACGGUACCGUAAGAAUAAGCACCGGCUAGCUACGUGCCAGCCGCCGCUGUAA
RNAcentral lists this ribosomal RNA (498 nucleotides) under uncultured bacterium. RNAcentral describes it as "partial 16S ribosomal RNA". It matches the Rfam family "Bacterial small subunit ribosomal RNA", at positions 30 to 523 of the family's 1533-position model. The record is from RNAcentral.